This 253-nucleotide ribosomal RNA is filed under the name uncultured bacterium. RNAcentral's name for it is "partial 16S ribosomal RNA". It matches the Rfam family "Bacterial small subunit ribosomal RNA", at positions 524 to 776 of the family's 1533-position model. The record is from RNAcentral.
GACAGAGGGUGCAAACGUUGUUCGGAAUUACUGGGCGUAAAGCGAGUGUAGGCGGUUUGAUAAGUCGGAUGUGAAAGCCCUGGGCUCAACCCAGGAAGUGCACUCGAUACUGUCAAGCUAGAGUAUCGGAGAGGUUGGUGGAAUUCUCGGUGUAGAGGUGAAAUUCGUAGAUAUCGAGAGGAACACCGGUGGCGAAGGCGGCCAACUGGACGAAUACUGACGCUGAGACUCGAAAGCGUGGGGAGCAAACAGG